RNAcentral lists this ribosomal RNA (456 nucleotides) under uncultured bacterium. Its description in RNAcentral is "partial 16S ribosomal RNA". It matches the Rfam family "Bacterial small subunit ribosomal RNA", at positions 338 to 795 of the family's 1533-position model. The record is from RNAcentral.
CCUACGGGUGGCAGCAGUGGGGAAUAUUGCACAAUGGGGGAAACCCUGAUGCAGCGACGCCGCGUGAGUGAAGAAGUAUUUCGGUAUGUAAAGCUCUAUCAGCAGGGAAGAAAUAAAGUCCUUCGGACUUUGGACGGUACCCGAAGAAAAAGCAUCGGCUAACUCCGUGCCAGCAGCCGCGGUAAUACGGAGGAUGCGAGCGUUAUCCGGAUUUAUUGGGUUUAAAGGGUGCGCAGGCGGAAGAUCAAGUCAGCGGUAAAAUUGAGAGGCUCAACCUCUUCGAGCCGUUGAAACUGGUUUUCUUGAGUGAGUGAGAAGUAUGCGGAAUGCGUGGUGUAGCGGUGAAAUGCAUAGAUAUCACGCAGAACUCCGAUUGCGAAGGCAGCAUACCGGCGCGCAACUGACGCUCAUGCACGAAAGCGUGGGUAUCGAACAGGAUUAGAUACCCCGGUAGUC